Molecule: ribosomal RNA, 380 nt
Filed under: Betta tomi
Lineage: Eukaryota; Metazoa; Chordata; Actinopteri; Anabantiformes; Osphronemidae
Description: partial 12S ribosomal RNA
Rfam family: Bacterial small subunit ribosomal RNA
Source: RNAcentral
UAAACAUUGAUACAUUAUUACAUUUUCAAUCCGCCCGGGUACUACAAGCACCAGCUUAAAACCCAAAGGACUUGGCGGUGCUUAAGAUCCCCCUAGAGGAGCCUGUUCUAGAACCGAUAAUCCACGUUGAACCUCACCCUCUCUUGUUUUUCCCGCCUAUAUACCGCCGUCGUCAGCUUACCCUGUGAAGGUCUAACAGUGAGCAAAAAUGGCACAGCCCAGAACGUCAGGUCGAGGUGUAGCGCAUGAGAGGGGAAGAAAUGGGCUACAUUCUCUAAAAAUAGAAGCACACGGACAAUAUAUUGAAACAUAUAUUUUAAGGAGGAUUUAGUAGUAAGUAGAAAUUAGAAUAUUCCACUGAAUUCGGCCCUAAAGCGCGC